This 486-nucleotide ribosomal RNA is filed under the name Triticum aestivum (bread wheat). RNAcentral's name for it is "partial small subunit ribosomal RNA". Lineage: Eukaryota; Viridiplantae; Streptophyta; Magnoliopsida; Poales; Poaceae. The record is from RNAcentral.
AUGAAAAGGCCCAAGCUGGGGGAUGCUAUGUCUGAUGAGAGUGACAUGUUUGAGAAUGUAUUUGCUGGAAUUAAUGUUAGUCCCAAGCUUGGGGAAGCUAUGUUUAAUGAAGAUGAUAUUUGUAGUCUCCCAAGUUUUGAUAUGCAAAUUUAUUAUGAUGAUAGCAUGCCUCCUACUUAUGAUGAUUAUAUUGAUGAAAGUGGGUUUGAAAGAGUGUCAACUUUAGGAAGUAAUGAUCCCACUAUUUUGGAGGAUGUUGAAUCUUAUUGUGAUAAUUAUGAAAGUGGAUUUGGAGAGGUCAUGACUUUAUUUAGUAAUGAUUCCACUAUCUUGGAAGAGGUUUCAAUUGAUUAUGAUGAGAACAAAGUUGCUACUUAUGAUGAUUAUUGUGAUGACACGUAUGAUAUAAAAAGUAGUGAUGGUUAUACUUAUAAAACUUUUCAUGAUUAUGAUUACCCUUUUUCUAAAUGUGAAAACAAUUUAUAG